AGUGAUUUUUGCUCCAUACUUUCCCAGUCAAACACAACAAAAAUAAAAAUUCACAUCCAACACAGACUUCUUGUUUAUAAUCUGCCGUCUCCCAGGGACCUGCACUGCCGUGCCACAGCUCUUGAAGAUCACAAAAGCCAAGAGCUGAGCACCAGCUUCCCCAGCCCGGCUGCUGCAGGCAGCACUGCUGCUGCUGUGCCCAGGUGCAUCUGCUCCCUGACACCAGGGAUUCUGUCUGCAGGUCAGGAGGUCCCACUUCAUGCAGAGAGACCUCAGAAGGACUCCAGUCCCUUGUGGAGCAGCCAGCCAGCCACAGUGCUGUGUGACACACUCAGCACAGGGCAAGUUAGCUCUGCAUCAGCUUCAGAGUCCCCUCAGGCAGGGAAUGUCACUGAGAUUUCUGAGCUGGGAAUAUCUCGGCGAGGUUUGGGGAAUGCAUUAAGAAAACAAUACGGUUGAAGACUUGCACAAAGUCAGAUAGUGCCAUGUGGGAGGUAUGCAUAGCCUGAGCUCAGCCCCUCCACAUCCCUGAGAUGCCUGACACCCUGUAAUUAUAGGCUCAUAGGCAUAACUUGUACUCAAAAGUUUCACUUUGACCAUAGAUCCACAGAGACAGCAUCUCAUUUUGGUGUAGCCAUGCUUAAUUUCUUUGACCUAAGCUUCCCAAUUGUGCCUUUUGAAUUUGGCAUUUAAUACAAUCCAUUCUUUUUCUCCAUUUCCCAAAUAGUCUGUGGAGCCAGACUAAUCGCCGCUCAUCAAAUGCCCAUUGUGUUCCUAUUUCCCUGUCCCAUGGUAACAGACACUUUUAUUGUGAUUAUUCAUCUGCUGUUCUUUCAUUAAUGAAAGAUUUUGAUUUUGCUGCCAUAAGGCCUCUUCAAUAGCUUUAUAUUAUGAGCACAGUUUCAAACAGAAACCUGUUCUUUGGUACUGCCUAGCAGUGACACUGGAGGGUCUUUUCUACCUUCUUGCUUGGCCAGUGACCACAAGAAAUGUCCACUUCAAGCACUCAUGAU
RNAcentral lists this long non-coding RNA (1013 nucleotides) under Junco hyemalis (dark-eyed junco). RNAcentral describes it as "lncRNA (ENSJHYG00000008334.1)". The record is from RNAcentral. Lineage: Eukaryota; Metazoa; Chordata; Aves; Passeriformes; Passerellidae.